AUUGAACGCUAGCGGGAUGCUUUACACAUGCAAGUCGAACGGCAGCGCGUAUGUCGGUCUGGCGGCGAGUGGCGAACUGGUGAGUAAUGUAUCGGUACGUGCCCAGUAGUGGGUGAUAACUUCGCUAAAGCGUAGCUAAUACCGCAUACGCCCUACUGUGGUAAGCAGGGGAUCGUAAGACCUUGCAUGAGUUUGUUUGCGGAUAUCGGAUUAUGUAGUUGGUGAGGUAACGGCUCACCAAGGCGACGAUCCGUAGCUGGUUUGAGAGGACGACCAGCCACACUGGGACUGAGACACGGCCCAGACUCCUACGGGAGCACGCAGUGGGCACAUUUGGACAAUGGGGGCAACCCUGAUCCAGCCAUCCCGCGUGUGAGAUGAAGGAAUUCGGGUUGUAAAGCACUUUUGGCAGGAAAGACAAAAAACGGGCUAAUACCCCGUGGAACUGACGGUACCUGCAGAAUAAGCACCGGCUAACUACGUG
This 484-nucleotide ribosomal RNA is filed under the name uncultured bacterium. RNAcentral describes it as "partial 16S ribosomal RNA". It matches the Rfam family "Bacterial small subunit ribosomal RNA", at positions 30 to 507 of the family's 1533-position model. The record is from RNAcentral.